GAUGAAGAACGUAGCGAAAUGCGAUACGUAAUGUGAAUUGCAGAAUUCAGUGAAUCAUCGAGUCUUUGAACGCACAUUGCGCCCCCUGGUAUUCCGGGGGGCAUGCCUGUCCGAGCGUCAUUUCAACCAUCAAGCCCCAGGCUUGUGUUGGGGACCUGCGGCUGCCGCAGGCCCUGAAAACCAGUGGCGGGCUCGCUAGUCACACCGAGCGUAGUAGCAUACACAUCGCUCAGGGCGUGCUGCGGGUUCCGGCCGUUAAACCCCUUUUUUACCCAAGGUUGACCUCGGAUCAGGUAGGAAGACCCGCUGAACUUAAGCAUAUCAAUAAGCGGAGGA
This 336-nucleotide unclassified non-coding RNA is filed under the name soil metagenome. RNAcentral describes it as "partial contains 5.8S ribosomal RNA, internal transcribed spacer 2, and large subunit ribosomal RNA". The stretch from base 1 to 120 matches the Rfam family "5.8S ribosomal RNA", at positions 35 to 154 of the family's 154-position model. The record is from RNAcentral.